GGAGGGUGCAAGCGUUAUCCGGAUUCACUGGGUUUAAAGGGAGCGUAGGUGGGUUGGUAAGUCAGUGGUGAAAUCUCUGAGCUUAACUCGGAAACUGCCAUUGAUACUAUCAGUCUUGAAUACCGUGGAGGUCAGCGGAAUAUGUCAUGUAGCGGUGAAAUGCUUAGAUAUGACAUAGAACACCAAUUGCGAAGGCAGCUGGCUACACGAAUAUUGACACUCAGGCUCGAAAGCGUGGGGAUCAAACAGGAUUAGAUACCCUGGUAGUCCACGCCCUAAACUAUGGAUACUCGACAUACGCGAUACACUGUGUGUGUCUGAGCGAAAGCAUUAAGUAUCCCACCUGGGAAGUACGAUCGCAAGAUUGAA
This 369-nucleotide ribosomal RNA is filed under the name uncultured bacterium. RNAcentral describes it as "bacterial SSU rRNA". It matches the Rfam family "Bacterial small subunit ribosomal RNA", at positions 527 to 898 of the family's 1533-position model. The record is from RNAcentral.